This 253-nucleotide ribosomal RNA is filed under the name uncultured bacterium. RNAcentral describes it as "partial 16S ribosomal RNA". It matches the Rfam family "Bacterial small subunit ribosomal RNA", at positions 524 to 776 of the family's 1533-position model. The record is from RNAcentral.
UACGUAGGGCGCAAGCGUUGUCCGGAAUUAUUGGGCGUAAAGAGCUCGUAGGUGGUUUGUCGCGUCUGUCGUGAAAGCCCGGGGCUUAACCCCGGGAGGCGGGUGGAUACUGUCUAGCUCGAGUCCGGAAGAGGAGUGUGGAAUUCCUGGUGUAGCGGUGAAAUGCGCAGAUAUCAGGAGGAACACCAAUGGCGAAGGCAGCACUCUGGGACGUGACUGACGCUGAGACGCGAAAGCGUGGGGAGCAAACAGG